AUUGAACGCUGGCGGCAUGCCUUACACAUGCAAGUCGAACGGUAACAGGUUAAGCUGCCGAGUGGCGAACGGGUGAGUAAUACAUCGGAACGUGCCCAGUAGUGUGGGAUAGCCCGGCGAAAGCCGGAUUAAUACCGCAUACGACCUAAGGGUGAAAGGGGGGGAUCGCAAGACCUCUCGCUAUUGGAGCGGCCGAUGUCAGAUUAGCUAGUUGGUGGGGUAAAAGCUCACCAAGGCGACGAUCUGUAGCUGGUCUGGGAGGACGACCAGCCACACUGGGACUGAGACACGGCCCAGACUCCUACGGGAGGCAGCAGUGGGGAAUUUUGGACAAUGGGCGCAAGCCUGAUCCAGCCAUGCCGCGUGCGGGAAGAAGGCCUUCGGGUUGUAAACCGCUUUUGUCAGGGAAGAAAUCCUUUGGGUUAAUACCUCGGGGGGAUGACGGUACCUGAAGAAUAAGCACCGGCUAACUACGUG
Molecule: ribosomal RNA, 477 nt
Filed under: uncultured bacterium
Lineage: Bacteria
Description: partial 16S ribosomal RNA
Rfam family: Bacterial small subunit ribosomal RNA
Source: RNAcentral